RNAcentral lists this microRNA (23 nucleotides) under Glycine max (soybean). Its description in RNAcentral is "gma-miR1521b". Lineage: Eukaryota; Viridiplantae; Streptophyta; Magnoliopsida; Fabales; Fabaceae. The record is from miRBase by way of RNAcentral.
GACUGUCACGUGUCAUAAUCAUA